Acinonyx jubatus (cheetah) is the source of this 660-nucleotide long non-coding RNA. RefSeq lists it as uncharacterized. Lineage: Eukaryota; Metazoa; Chordata; Mammalia; Carnivora; Felidae. The record is from RefSeq and is a predicted model, not a curated record. The transcript is spliced from 2 exons.
GCUAGCCAAGUCCCGUUACGAGGCUCCUGCGCACCCCUUGUUGUUGCCAUCCAUGUUUUCCGAAAACGGUUAGGAGCCAUCCGCGGUCUACUGACAGGACAAAAUAUGCUGCUUCCCCGAAAAGGACACUUCCCUUGGUAGCGGAGGGUUUUAACAACCUGAAGGCAGCUUGUGAUUUCCUUCACUGGAGAUGGAAGCACUGAGGCAUAGAGCCGUGCCUUGCCCAAGGUGAUGCUGGGAUACAAACCACCAGUCUGCCCAGAGCCUGUGCGCAUGACCAUUACGCGGCACUGCCUCCCCAAAAGUGCAGACUGUGGGCGAAAUGGUUUGUUCAAAGGGACGCUUGGUCAUUCUGGUACAUUAUCCUCCUCGUGACCAUUUGCCUUCAAUUGCAGGUCCCUGAGACCCUUUUUAAAGAGGUUCCUCUUGAUCCUUGAGAAUGGGGACAAGAGUGAAUCACCUCAUUAGACUCACGAAGAUAGAUUAUGGGUAAUUCAUCACGAGCUCCGGGUCCCAGAGCUGCUGAACGCUUGUAUUCCGCUACAUCCACAUCAAAAAGAGCACUGUGCCGUCAGACCGCUGUCCGGUCCCUGAGGCCCUCUUACUCACCUCUGCUCCUCCAUAAACCACAGUCCUUAAAAUAAAAGCCAAUAAAGAGUG